AUUGAACGCUGGCGGCAGGCCUAACACAUGCAAGUCGAGCGGAUGAAGGGAGCUUGCUCCUGGAUUCAGCGGCGGACGGGUGAGUAAUGCCUAGGAAUCUGCCUGGUAGUGGGGGAUAACGUCCGGAAACGGGCGCUAAUACCGCAUACGUCCUGAGGGAGAAAGUGGGGGAUCUUCGGACCUCACGCUAUCAGAUGAGCCUAGGUCGGAUUAGCUAGUUGGUGGGGUAAAGGCCUACCAAGGCGACGAUCCGUAACUGGUCUGAGAGGAUGAUCAGUCACACUGGAACUGAGACACGGUCCAGACCCCUACGGGAGGCAGGAGUGGGGAAUUUUGGACAAUGGGCGAAAGCCUGAUCCAGCCAUGCCGCGUGUGUGAAGAAGGUUUUCGGAUUGUAAAGCCCUUUAAGUUGGGGGGAAGGGCAGUAAGUUAAAACCUUGCUGUUUUGACGUUACCAACAAAAUAAACACCGGCUAACUUCGU
Molecule: ribosomal RNA, 483 nt
Filed under: uncultured bacterium
Lineage: Bacteria
Description: partial 16S ribosomal RNA
Rfam family: Bacterial small subunit ribosomal RNA
Source: RNAcentral